GAUCAUGGCUCAGGAUGAACGCUAGCUACAGGCUUAACACAUGCAAGUCGAGGGGCAGCAUUGGGAUAGCUUGCUAUUCAGAUGGCGACCGGCGCACGGGUGAGUAACGCGUAUCCAACCUUCCUGCCAGUAGGGAACAGCCCGGCGAAAGUCGGAUUAAUGCCCUAUGUCCUUCAAUGCGGACAUCUAAGUUGAAGGAAAGAUUCAUCGCUGGCAGAUGGGGAUGCGUCCGAUUAGCUUGCCGGCGGGGUAACGGCCCACCGGGGCGACGAUCGGUAGGGGUUCUGAGAGGAAGGUCCCCCACACUGGUACUGAGACACGGACCAGACUCCUACGGGAGGCAGCAGUGAGGAAUAUUGGUCAAUGGGCGUAAGCCUGAACCAGCCAAGUAGCGUGCCAGGACGACGGCCCUACGGGUUGUAAACUGCUUUUAUGCGGGGAUAAAGUGCGGCACGUGUGCCGCUUUGCAGGUACCGCAUGAAUAAGGACCGGCUAAUUCCGUGCCAGCAGCGGC
This 514-nucleotide ribosomal RNA is filed under the name uncultured bacterium. RNAcentral's name for it is "bacterial SSU rRNA". It matches the Rfam family "Bacterial small subunit ribosomal RNA", at positions 15 to 518 of the family's 1533-position model. The record is from RNAcentral.